This 496-nucleotide ribosomal RNA is filed under the name uncultured bacterium. RNAcentral's name for it is "partial 16S ribosomal RNA". It matches the Rfam family "Bacterial small subunit ribosomal RNA", at positions 31 to 507 of the family's 1533-position model. The record is from RNAcentral.
AGGAACGCUGGCGGCGUGCCUAAUACAUGCAAGUCGAGCGAACGGACGAGAAGCUUGCUUCUCUGAUGUUAGCGGCGGACGGGUGAGUAACACGUGGAUAACCUACCUAUAAGACUGGGAUAACUUCGGGAAACCGGAGCUAAUACCGGAUAAUAUUUUGAACCGCAUGGUUCAAAAGUGAAAGACGGUCUUGCUGUCACUUAUAGAUGGAUCCGCGCUGCAUUAGCUAGUUGGUAAGGUAACGGCUUACCAAGGCAACGAUGCAUAGCCGACCUGAGAGGGUGAUCGGCCACACUGGAACUGAGACACGGUCCAGACUCCUACGGGAGGCAGCAGUAGGGAAUCUUCCGCAAUGGGCGAAAGCCUGACGGAGCAACGCCGCGUGAGUGAUGAAGGUCUUCGGAUCGUAAAACUCUGUUAUUAGGGAAGAACAUAUGUGUAAGUAACUGUGCACAUCUUGGCGGUACCUAAUCAGAAAGCCACGGCUAACUACGUG